Long non-coding RNA from Camelus dromedarius (Arabian camel), 910 nucleotides. RefSeq lists it as uncharacterized. NCBI's taxonomy places the organism in Eukaryota, Metazoa, Chordata, Mammalia, Artiodactyla, Camelidae. The transcript is spliced from 2 exons. The record is from RefSeq and is a predicted model, not a curated record.
UCUGGGAAAGAAUAUCAGAACUGUUAUCAUAUAAGUGCCCCUAAGACCAACACCACUAGAGGGCUGAUUCAUGGUCUGUCAUAACCGGGAAGUUCUCUAAGAAAAGUGAAGCCACAACCCACUAGCAUCCAGGCAAGCAAGGUCUAGUGGAGAUGGGCAAAUUUGGGUUCAAUUCUAGCCUCACCUGUGACUUCAGGCUUGUUCCCUAUUCUGAGUCUCAAAGUCCUGUGUCUCUAAAUUGAGGAUAAGGAGACACUUCCCUUGUAAAUUUAUUGUGAAGAUAAGACAUAAUUUAUAUAAUGUGCCUGACACAUAGUAGGUACUUAAUAAAUUAUAGCAAUUUUGAUGAUAAUUGGGUGAAUAUAAUUUGAGCCAUAGAAUGGCCCAGCUUGCAAAUCAUCUGGUUCAAUUUCAUAAUUAUACAGGUGAAGACCAGAGGUGAUAGGGAAUUUGCCCAAGAGCACAAAGCUGGUUUAGCAAAGCCAGAACUAGAUUUGGGGCUUCUAAUACGUUCUCCUGUAUUCUUUCCUUUCUAGCUAACAGAGCCAAACUAUCUUACAUUUAAGGAGCUGCUUACGACUUUGCCAUUUCGGUGGGCUAGCAGGGAAAUCUGACACAGCUAGAAAGCAAUGGAAAACACUAAGGGUUGCAUCAGAUAUUGAAGAGGAACUGAUCACACCAUGGAGAUAAAAAUGAUCUCUUUUUAAGGGAGAUUAAAAAUAAAAGCUGGUCACUUAAAGGUAGCAGUCUUUUGGGGAGAAGCUAAUAAGGGUUCCAGAGGCCAAUUUGUCCCUUGUAACCAAUGUUGAUCGCAUGUUAGAAUGAGGGAUGUGUGUGUUUUGGUGCUAUACCUCUUCCUCUCAGCAUAGAUUUGCAAGGCAGGCUCAAAUAAAUUUUCAGCCCCUUUCAA